This 87-nucleotide unclassified non-coding RNA is filed under the name Pseudomonas poae. Lineage: Bacteria; Pseudomonadati; Pseudomonadota; Gammaproteobacteria; Pseudomonadales; Pseudomonadaceae. The record is from RNAcentral.
UGUAGGAGCUGGCUUGCCUGCGAUAGCAUCACCUCGGUAUACCUGAUGGACCGAGUCGUCUGCAUCGCAGGCAAGCCAGCUCCCACA